This is a non-coding RNA of Drosophila melanogaster (fruit fly), 825 nucleotides long. Lineage: Eukaryota; Metazoa; Arthropoda; Insecta; Diptera; Drosophilidae. The record is from Ensembl.
AGAAAUUUCAUUUGCCUUCGACUCGAGCUACAAGCUAGUCGCAUUUCUCGAACAAGUUACAGAAAUGUAUCAAAAUUUUUUCAGUUAAAAAACUACAUUGCCGACGAAAUGUCGGCACAAGGCUUGGUUCCUCGCCCGAAUCCGAGGAAUCCAAACCAGGAAACAACGUUGAUAAUGAUCGACAAAAUUACUCACUACUCAUGAACACGAUGCUCCAUAACUGCCGGACGAGCACCAAUCGGCGACCCAGUUCCGGAGGAUCAUCAAGCUGCAAAACCCAUGACACUAGACUGUAAAAGUACACAUUGUUACAGCAGCAGUGCACAAGGCUUGAUUCCUCGCCCGAAUCCGAGGAAUCUAAGCCAGGAAACGACGUUUGAUCAUGAUUCGCCACGUGUGGGACUAGAUUUUUCACUACCUAUGAACACGAUGCUUUCUUUAUACGACACUGGAUGGUAACACGAUGGUAACACGAAUUGAUACUGCGUUGAUUUGGAUCGUUGAACACAGUUACAUACGUUACAUUUUGCACGUUUUCUAUUGCGAUUUACAAUUAGUUUUGCCAGUUCACACAAUCUCCUUUGAUUAUUGUAAGCCAAUUAAUACUACUUACAGUGACAAUACUAAAAUACAGCUGUGUAUGAAAGUGGACAAUACACAAAACCAUACACUACAACUAAAACAAAAACAAAUCAGAAUUUGAAAGUGGACUAGAAGUAACACUUAUUACACAGACACCGAAUGUUAUAACAAAUACACUGAAAACACACAAAUAAAAUAUUGUAUACGUCAUCCCAAAGAAUAAAAACAUCGAUUAAUUGAGCU